This is a long non-coding RNA of Diprion similis, 273 nucleotides long. RefSeq lists it as uncharacterized. The transcript is spliced from 3 exons. The record is from RefSeq and is a predicted model, not a curated record. Lineage: Eukaryota; Metazoa; Arthropoda; Insecta; Hymenoptera; Diprionidae.
GGAUACAAAAUUCAGGUGCAAGCUGAUCGAUUUCUUGCGGCGAUAGACGAAAUCGAUCCACUGAACUUUCAGAAUGACGAAUCUUUCACGGAGUUCCAGAUAUUUCGGAGGCAGGUCAGGCUCAGGACGCUACGUUUCGACUGCCAUCGUUUCCUGAAGUUAGACGUGAAUCUGAUUAUUUGGAAACUGAAGUUCGUCGUCGCAGUGGUUUUGAUACUCAUUCAAAUCACGAAUCCCAUUAAAAAUGAAGUAUCAACGGAGGCAGCCAAUCUC